UACGUAGGGUGCAAGCGUUAAUCGGAAUUACUGGGCGUAAAGCGUGCGCAGGCGGUUGUGCAAGACAGAUGUGAAAUCCCCGGGCUUAACCUGGGAAUGGCAUUUGGGACUGCAAGGCUCGAGUGCGGCAGAGGAGACUGGAAUUCCUGGUGUAGCAGUGAAAUGCGUAGAUAUCAGGAGGAACACCGAUGGCGAAGGCAGGUCUCUGGGCUGACACUGACGCUCAUGCACGAAAGCGUGGGGAGCAAACAGG
RNAcentral lists this ribosomal RNA (253 nucleotides) under uncultured bacterium. RNAcentral describes it as "partial 16S ribosomal RNA". It matches the Rfam family "Bacterial small subunit ribosomal RNA", at positions 524 to 776 of the family's 1533-position model. The record is from RNAcentral.